CAUUGAACAUGCCCUGGGAUCAGAACCACCCACAAGUUUCAUUGCUACCAUCAAUGAAGGGAUGACUUGGGCAGCCCUGGUGGCCCAGUGGUUUAGUGCUGCCUUCAGCCCAGGGUGUGAUCCUAGAGACCAGGGAUCAAGUCCCACGUCAGGCUCCCUGCAUGGAGCCUGCUUCUCCCUCUGCCUCUCUCUCUCUCUCUCAUGAAUAAAUAAGUAAAAAUCUUUAAAAACAAAUUAAGGGAUGACUUGAGUCCAGCUCCUUUACUUUCUCAACAGUUUGCUCAUCCACAAAAUGGGGGAAAUGUAUUACUUGUAGAGUUUCUGAGAAGAUGAAAUGACAUAUAAGUGGUUCUCAGUGCAGUGGAACCUAGAGGCAUUUGAUGACACCAAGCGGCCUCUAUCCUGUGCCAGGAACUAGCAAUGCGGAGAUGAAUAAACAACAGCAGAGCCUCUGACAGCAAAGAACUCUCCCAAAUCGAGCUGUUGUAGAGAUUAAAUAAGACAGUGUCUGUAAAGCUCUCUUAAGGCAGGCAAUGAGCACAAUUCCCACAGAAGCUACAACGAAAGCCGGAGGCACUGGCUUCAGUAGAAAUUUUGUUGGAGUAACACGGUUCUGCCAAGUCAUUUUUGAUCAAAGACUUUUCCAUGGCUCCAGCUGCUCAUACAGUGUGCAGUCCUUCUACUGUGUUUCUCCCUUACCUAAAUGUGUAUCUUCAAGCCUGCAUUUCCAAAGGAUUACUUUUGCGUUUAAUUCCUGGCUUAAUGACUGUGUGUUCCCACAGGAUCAAAUACCAUCAUCCAGAGUUAAACUUAGGAGGGAUGUAGAUAUUUUCCCCAUGGCAAGUUUAUUCCAGACAUUCUACUGGGCACUUGGGGGAUACCCAGAAGCAGAGCUGAAUCCUAUCAUUCCAGCAGCAGCUGUAUGUCAGCUCAUUCAACAAAUGGUCAGUGAUUAUUUGCAACUGUAAAUAUUAAUGAGGGAAGACCCUUUUAACAAAAAAGAAAUAGAACUGUUACAUAU
RNAcentral lists this long non-coding RNA (1021 nucleotides) under Vulpes vulpes (red fox). Its description in RNAcentral is "lncRNA (ENSVVUG00000014046.1)". Lineage: Eukaryota; Metazoa; Chordata; Mammalia; Carnivora; Canidae. The record is from RNAcentral.